CUUGGCGUUAGCAUGUUCUGCGACUGAUGUGGCUAGUGUCUGUUGUAGGCCCAGACACAGGAGCAAUGUUGGAGUUUGUAAUAUUGAGGGACAUCAAGAGAAAUUUUGUGAAUGUUAAGCCUCAUUUGAAGCCAAUUUAAUAACCAGAGUAGUAGGUUGGAUGGGUAACUGUUUCUUCACAUUGGUUUUUGUGGUACUUCAUACUGCUCAGCAAGCUCAGCUAGCUUUGUUGUUACACAAAAGCCUCCUCUGCUCUGUGAUCCUUGCCGGUAUGCGUGUCUGUUGCUGUGUUAUGUAAAUUUACCAGAUAGAUCUGUGGUACAUAUGUGAAAAACAAAUGGUCAAACUGCAGGAAUUCUUUUGCUUGGCAACAUUGUGUAACUUUGAUUAGCACCAAGCUGCUAACUUGCUCAUACCUGAAAGCUGUAGCGGUCCACUGGACAGUGUGUGUAAAGUCAAGCCAAGACUAAUACAACCAUUCUCAUUCACAGAUACACAUAGCGUUACUAAGCGGGGGGACGCUUCCUAUGACCAUUCAGACUCAGUCACAGCUUUGACAGGGUCAACAGACAUGUUUGUUAUUUCAGACUCAGUGGCAGUCCUUGUAUCUAGAACAGUCUUCAAUGAUGUGAGGAAGCUGAGCCAUUGCCACUGAGGCCUUCCACUGUGUAAUCCUGUGGUUCUACAUAAAGAGCAUGGCCAAAUUUAUCUGCAGUUGUGCAGGGUUGGCCCUAAUAAAAGAUGACAGUGACUCUGCCAUAUGCCAUGUUCCCGGAUCCACCAAACUCUCCUUACAGUAUGAGAAAGCAUCACAGGAAGAAGUUAUUGCUGGGCAGAUGUCAUGCUUCAGUCCAGCAAAGGCCUGAAGACAACACAGCGGCCAGCAGCAUCAGGAAGUCUCGGUAUCCACAGGAGGACACGUGAGGAUGACCAGUGUGACCUGAGACCUCCAAUACCAGCUGACACAACUUCAGUAUACAAGAAACCCUUUACCCUGAUGGAGGACAUGAUCUGGACUUUUUACAUAAAUGUUAUGGCUCUGCUACU
Molecule: long non-coding RNA, 1047 nt
Organism: Thunnus maccoyii (southern bluefin tuna)
Lineage: Eukaryota; Metazoa; Chordata; Actinopteri; Scombriformes; Scombridae
Exons: 3
Source: RefSeq, a predicted model, not a curated record